CGGGGCGUAGCUCAGCUUGGCUAGAGCGCUGCGUUUGGGACGCAGAGGUCGCACGUUCGAAUCGUGUCGCCCCGAC
RNAcentral lists this transfer RNA (76 nucleotides) under Gimesia maris. RNAcentral describes it as "tRNA-Pro". It matches the Rfam family "tRNA". From Rfam's summary of the family: Transfer RNA (tRNA) molecules are approximately 80 nucleotides in length. Their secondary structure includes four short double-helical elements and three loops (D, anti-codon, and T loops). RNAcentral also lists the same sequence under 3 other names. The record is from RNAcentral. Lineage: Bacteria; Pseudomonadati; Planctomycetota; Planctomycetia; Planctomycetales; Planctomycetaceae.